RNAcentral lists this ribosomal RNA (563 nucleotides) under uncultured bacterium. RNAcentral describes it as "bacterial SSU rRNA". It matches the Rfam family "Bacterial small subunit ribosomal RNA", at positions 338 to 916 of the family's 1533-position model. The record is from RNAcentral.
CCUACGGGAGGCAGCAGUGGGGAAUCUUGCGCAAUGGGCGAAAGCCUGACGCAGCAACGCCGCGUGCGGGAAGAAGGCUUUCGGGCUGUAAACCGCUUUCAGCAGGAACGAAAAUGACGGUACCUGCAGAAGAAGGAGCGGCCAACUAUGUGCCAGCAGCCGCGGUGAUACAUAGGCUUCAAGCGUUGUCCGGAUUUAUUGGGCGUAAAGAGUUCGUAGGCGGUCGAGUAAGUCGGGUGUGAAAAUUCUGGGCUCAACCCAGAGACGCCACCCGAUACUGCUUGACUUGAGUUCGAUAGGGGAGUGGGGAAUUCCUAGUGUAGCGGUGAAAUGCGCAGAUAUUAGGAGGAACACCGGUGGCGAAGGCGCCACUCUGGAUCGAUACUGACGCUGAGGAACGAAAGCAUGGGUAGCAAACAGGAUUAGAUACCCUGGUAGUCCAUGCCGUAAACGGUGGGUACUAGGUGUGGGUUUCUAUUAACGAAAUCCGCGCCGUCGCUAACGCAUUAAGUGCCCCGCCUGGGGAGUACGGUCGCAAGACUAAAACUCAAAGGAAUUGACGG